Molecule: ribosomal RNA, 445 nt
Filed under: Streptomyces werraensis
Lineage: Bacteria; Bacillati; Actinomycetota; Actinomycetes; Kitasatosporales; Streptomycetaceae
Description: bacterial SSU rRNA
Rfam family: Bacterial small subunit ribosomal RNA
Source: RNAcentral
UGMAGUCGAACGAUGWACCUCCUUCGGGAGGGGAUUAGUGGCGAACGGGUGAGUAACACGUGGGCAAUCUGCCCUGMACUCUGGGACAAGCCCUGGAAACGGGGUCUAAUACCGGAUACUGAUCAUCUUGGGCAUCCUUGGUGAUCGAAAGCUCCGGCGGUGCAGGAUGAGCCCGCGGCCUAUCAGCUUGUUGGUGAGGUAAUGGCUCACCAAGGCGACGACGGGUAGCCGGCCUGAGAGGGCGACCGGCCACACUGGGACUGAGACACGGCCCAGACUCCUACGGGAGGCAGCAGUGGGGAAUAUUGCACAAUGGGCGAAAGCCUGAUGCAGCGACGCCGCGUGAGGGAUGACGGCCUUCGGGUUGUAAACCUCUUUCAGCAGGGAAGAAGCGAAAGUGACGGUACCUGCAGAAGAAGCGCCGGCUAACUACGUGCCAGCAGCC